GGGCAAAUCAGAUGAAAAUCUGAGACGCAAAGCCAAAGGAGCUAAAGUUAGACAGAUAUCUGACCAUGCCAGCCGGUUGCCA
Molecule: non-coding RNA, 82 nt
Filed under: human gut metagenome
Description: Cyclic di-GMP-I riboswitch
Rfam family: c-di-GMP-I riboswitch aptamer
About the family: GEMM was predicted in a large-scale screen for bacterial structured RNA regulatory elements.
Source: RNAcentral